GCCGGGCGCGGUGGCGCGCGCCUGUAGUCCCAGCUACUCGGGAGGCUGAGGCUGGAGGAUCGCUUGAGCUCAGGAGUUCUGGGCUGCAGUGCGCUAUGCCGAUCGGGUGUCCGCACUAAGUUCGGCAUCAAUAUGGUGACCUCCCGGGAGCGGGGGACCACCAGGUUGCCUAAGGAGGGGUGAACCGGCCCAGGUCGGAAACGGAGCAGGUCAAAACUCCCGUGCUGAUCAGUAGUGGGAUCGCGCCUGUGAAUAGCCACUGUACUCCAGCCUGGGCAACAUAGCGAGACCCCGUCU
Molecule: signal recognition particle RNA, 297 nt
Filed under: Bos taurus (domestic cattle)
Lineage: Eukaryota; Metazoa; Chordata; Mammalia; Artiodactyla; Bovidae
Description: long non-coding RNA NONBTAT002149
Rfam family: Metazoan signal recognition particle RNA
About the family: The signal recognition particle (SRP) is a universally conserved ribonucleoprotein.
Source: RNAcentral